Molecule: ribosomal RNA, 739 nt
Filed under: Salmonella enterica
Lineage: Bacteria; Pseudomonadati; Pseudomonadota; Gammaproteobacteria; Enterobacterales; Enterobacteriaceae
Description: partial 23S ribosomal RNA
Rfam family: Bacterial large subunit ribosomal RNA
Source: RNAcentral
GAAAUACCACCCUUUAAUGUUUGAUGUUCUAACGUGGACCCGUGAUCCGGGUUGCGGACAGUGUCUGGUGGGUAGUUUGACUGGGGCGGUCUCCUCCUAAAGAGUAACGGAGGAGCACGAAGGUUGGCUAAUCCUGGUCGGACAUCAGGAGGUUAGUGCAAUGGCAUAAGCCAGCUUGACUGCGAGCGUGACGGCGCGAGCAGGUGCGAAAGCAGGUCAUAGUGAUCCGGUGGUUCUGAAUGGAAGGGCCAUCGCUCAACGGAUAAAAGGUACUCCGGGGAUAACAGGCUGAUACCGCCCAAGAGUUCAUAUCGACGGCGGUGUUUGGCACCUCGAUGUCGGCUCAUCACAUCCUGGGGCUGAAGUAGGUCCCAAGGGUAUGGCUGUUCGCCAUUUAAAGUGGUACGCGAGCUGGGUUUAGAACGUCGUGAGACAGUUCGGUCCCUAUCUGCCGUGGGCGCUGGAGAACUGAGGGGGGCUGCUCCUAGUACGAGAGGACCGGAGUGGACGCAUCACUGGUGUUCGGGUUGUCAUGCCAAUGGCACUGCCCGGUAGCUAAAUGCGGAAGAGAUAAGUGCUGAAAGCAUCUAAGCACGAAACUUGCCCCGAGAUGAGUUCUCCCUGAGACUUUAGGUCUCCUGAAGGAACGUUGAAGACGACGACGUUGAUAGGCCGGGUGUGUAAGCGCAGCGAUGCGUUGAGCUAACCGGUACUAAUGAACCGUGAGGCUUAACCUUAC